AUAUUGGACAAUGGGCGAAAGCCUGAUCCAGCAAUGCCGCGUGAGUGAAGAAGGCCUUCGGGUUGUAAAGCUCUUUUGUCCGGAACGAAACGGUUGCGGUGAAUAUCCGCGACUACUGACGGUACCGGAAGAAUAAGCCACGGCUAACUACGUGCCAGCAGCCGCGGUAAUACGUAGGUGGCGAGCGUUGUCCGGAUUUACUGGGCGUAAAGGGCGUGCAGGCGGCCUGUUAAGUCUAGGGUGAAAGCUCCCGGCUCAACUGGGAGAGGUCCUUGGAUACUGGCGGGCUUGAGGGAGGUAGAGGAGAAUGGAAUUCCCGGUGUAGUGGUGAUAUGCGUAGAUAUCGGGAGGAACACCUGUGGCGAAGGCGGUUCUCUGGGCCUUACCUGACGCUGAGACGCGAAAGCGUGGGGAGCGAAC
Molecule: ribosomal RNA, 420 nt
Filed under: uncultured bacterium
Lineage: Bacteria
Description: bacterial SSU rRNA
Rfam family: Bacterial small subunit ribosomal RNA
Source: RNAcentral